CAGCACCAGAGGGAGCCAACAAGCUUCAUGCCCAGGCAAACAGAGCGGAAAAGGGAGGAGAAGAAUGGGAGGAGAGGAAAGAAAAUGUUAACUGAAAAUGUUUUAUGCCAGAAAUGUACCAGCAUCUUUGUUAUUAAACACAGGCUUUGAUGAUGACACAUUUCCCAUGUUCAUAACUUGUGAUUGGUGAAGAAACAGCUGAGGCCUAGAUAAGUUAUGUGCCCAAUGCCACACAGCUAGAAAGCUACAAAGCUGAAGUUUGAACCCAACUCAUCUUGGUCCAGAGUCUGUGCACAGAAGUCCUCAUACAUCCAGCACUCAGCCUGCUCUUGAGCAAAAGGUACAUGUCCAACUUAAGAAAGCGUUUACUACUAGAGAUCGCUGAAAAAAUCAUAAGUCAUUUCAAUCAGGUUGAAUGCACUGCCCCAGAGAUGUUCAAGAAGAGGUUCAAGGACUUCUUAGGACGGAGUUUUAUGAGAGGCACCAACAUUGAAGACAUCAAAUCCAAUUGUAAAGUCCUUCCAAAUGGAAGAUUGUAAAAGCAUCUAAAGGUCUAUUCUGGAUGGGAAGAUAACAUGGGCAAAGGUAAUGACUAUCUGGGAGGAGCAGACCAGUAUGGCUGUAAUGAGAAAUUCAUGGAGAAGAGUGGUUUCCAGUAAUGCUGCAAAAAUCGGCUAGAAUCAGAUUGCGAGAGACCCUGAAUGUCAGCAAAAUCGGGUUUUGGUCUUAAUCCUCUUAAUCCUUUAACUGAUGGGAAGACUUAAAGAGUUCCUCCUCUGGAAAGUGAUAAAGUUUUGCCUUUUUUUUUUUUUUCUAGUUUGGAGUUUUUUGUUUUGUUUUGUUUUUGAUACAAAGGGUAUGAAGUAAAUUAAUCAGAUGACAUUCUUGAUCUACUGCGAAUGACUCAGUCAAGCCUCUUUUGCAUCUUCUCUUCCUCCCACUGUCCACAAGGUGGCACCAGAACUCAAAAUCAGAACUCCCUGGAAGGUUGUCUAACUGUUCCAAGCCUUUCCUGUAGGAUGACUCCUAUAAAGAUACUUUUGAGGAGUUAACAAUUUUCGUCUUAACUGACUGCAACGUUCUGAAGAACUUCUGGGGACUGUGCCAGUUUAGAGACUAUUGUAGACCAAAAUCAUAAACAACACAUCCUACAGAAAAUGCUAAUGAUCAACUGGACGUUGAUACAGUGGAAUUUGUU
Molecule: long non-coding RNA, 1198 nt
Organism: Homo sapiens (human)
Lineage: Eukaryota; Metazoa; Chordata; Mammalia; Primates; Hominidae
Exons: 3
Source: RefSeq, a predicted model, not a curated record